Colius striatus (speckled mousebird) is the source of this 1464-nucleotide RNA transcript. It is a transcript of the gene named matrix metalloproteinase-24-like, with no coding region annotated. The record is from RefSeq and is a predicted model, not a curated record. The transcript has 5 exons. Lineage: Eukaryota; Metazoa; Chordata; Aves; Coliiformes; Coliidae.
GAGCGCUGCCGGAGCCCCGCCGCGCUGCCAUGGCGCCGAGGCGGCGCCGGGGCUGGGCCGCGCCGGGCUCCCUGUUGCCGUUGCUCUGCGCCCUGCUCCGCGCCGCCGCCGACACCAGCACGGGCCGGGAUUGGUUAAAAACUUACGGCUACUUGCUUCCGUCUGACAGCCACACGUCUGCCGUGCAGUCGGGAAAAGCUGUGCAGUCCGCGGUUGCCACUAUGCAACAGUUUUAUGGGAUCCCAGUAACAGGAGUUUUGGACCAGACAACUAUUGAGAGUCCACCCAGGUGAGGAGAACCUCCAUCAUCCUCUUGAGAGAGGUGAUCGACGCCAUGGAGAGGAACAAGAAGCACCUCAAGAUCGUGAGGAGGAACCUCAUCCCCCUGUUCUUCAGGAUGAGCGACCAGCUCAUGCUGGUGGCUGAGAUGGGGGCUUGUCCGGGAGCUGAAGUCGUCUUCCUGGGGGGCCUCUGUCGCUGAAGGACGGGAAGACGCAUCCCGUUGAUUUCAACGGUCUCGUGGAUCAUCGACAGGGGUUCCAGAGGAGACCAACCGGAUCCUGAGACCGAGUUUUGAAGGCAGACCCAGUGAACCACAGGGGGGAAGGAUGGGAAUAGUAGGCACAAUCGUAUCAACCAGGAAACUCUGUGCACAGACCAAGGAAAAAAGGGCUUAUAGCCCAAACACCACCUCUCGAGUUUGCAGCCCACACCAUCGAGCAUGAAGGGCAGAUCUUGAUCAAGUCCUGAAAAGAAACCAAACUGCAACCCGAAUGGCAAGGCCUGUUCCAGGUGUUACUGACCACUGAGACAGCAGUAAGAAUGGCUGGAAAAAAAAAAAGACUGGACUCAUUACAUCAGACUCAGAGGAGCAAUGGACUCUGACUCGAGGAUGGACAGCGGCACGUCUGUCAGACUACAAACUACUUGUGUCUUAAAGAAGCAGUAAGAAUCCAAUGGAAACAAGGACACUCAUUACUAUUACUAACUGAUGAGGUGGUGGUAGCAGAAAUGUCGUUAAUUGUUGAAAAUGAGGGAGAUCAUUGUAAUUAUGGGCUAUUGUUUGUUGGAAAUCCAGGGGACAGCAUCAUGACCACUGGAGUGGGACAAAGUAGUGUUCAGUUAAACUAUGGAUAAACGUAACUGAUAGGGAGGCUCCACAAACUAUACAGUUUAAUGCUUGUCAAAUAGAACCUAUGGACUUGGAGCAGAUAUAAAUGGAAGGGAUUCAGGAUUGUAGUGUAGAAAUCAAAGAGGGGACUGAGUCAAAGGAUAGCAACUCCUACUACAUCACCUAAAAUAAAACCAUGAGACCCACCAAAUGACCCAAAGAUUGUAACUAUAACUUAAGUAAAGAAUUUAACUGAAGUAAAUACUUUAACGCAAACAUUUGAGACUGAAGCAGGAUAUGGAGAUGUAAGUGCCUGGAUUGAAUGGGUUUAAAUAUACAGUGUAAAGCCUGAA